Sebastes umbrosus (honeycomb rockfish) is the source of this 118-nucleotide long non-coding RNA. RefSeq lists it as uncharacterized. The transcript is spliced from 3 exons. NCBI's taxonomy places the organism in Eukaryota, Metazoa, Chordata, Actinopteri, Perciformes, Sebastidae. The record is from RefSeq and is a predicted model, not a curated record.
GCCCUACUACACCCACUGGUCGGUUUUAUCAUCUAUUCACAUGGUUGAUCCGUGGAAGAAGGUAUGAAAGAAGAUGACAGCGACCUGUAGUGACCGUAGUAGUUUUUAGUUAUUUUAA